This is an RNA transcript of Pygocentrus nattereri (red-bellied piranha), 3331 nucleotides long. It is a transcript of the gene named POC1 centriolar protein B, with no coding region annotated. The transcript has 13 exons. NCBI's taxonomy places the organism in Eukaryota, Metazoa, Chordata, Actinopteri, Characiformes, Serrasalmidae. The record is from RefSeq and is a predicted model, not a curated record.
UUCACAAUGGAGAUUGUUGCUUUUUUAUAAAAGCAACUAAGUUAACUAAGUUAUAAUGGAUCAUUCGAGAGAGUAUCUUGACAACGAAAUCGACCCGUCGAGGUUCGACUAUUUCGGACUGGCUGUGUGAAACGCGCCUUGUUUGACAGAUGGGAAGUAACUUCGCUGCAUUCUGUUUGCCUUAUUAGAUAAAAAGAGAAAGACUAAAAGUUCGUAACGCAUGCGAGAAGUUUCAAGACAUGCGACUAGCUACCUAGUCAACGUUAGCUAGCUGGCAAAAUUCAAUGGCAUCUGUCUUGGAGGAUCCCACCCUUGAGAGGUGUUUUAAGGGACACAAAGAUGCUGUCACUUGUGCAGAUUUCAGUCCCAGCCAUAAGCAGUUGGCCACUGGAUCCAAUGACAAGAAUCUAAUGAUCUGGAACCUCAACCCAAAAGCCAGAGCUUUUAGAUUUGUGGGUCAUAAGGAUAUCAUAACUGCAGUCCAUUUCUCCCCGUCUGGUGACUUGGUAGCUUCUGCAUCCAGGGACAAGACUGUUCGACUUUGGGCACCGAACAUCAAAGGAGAGUCAACUGUGUUCAAAGCACACACAGCCACGGUACGCAGUGUGAGCUUCUCCAGUGAUGGUCAGAGACUGGUUACUGGCUCGGAUGAUAAGUCAGUGAAAGUGUGGAGUGUGCAUCGACAGAAAUUCAUCUACUCCCUUAAUCAGCACACCAACUGGGUGCGCUGUGUGAGGUUUUCACCAGAUGGACGAUUAGUCGCAUCCUGUGGGGAUGAUAGAACUGUUCGUCUGUGGGACACAUCAACCCACCAGUGCAUCAACACUUUCUCUGACUAUGGCGGGCCAGCAACAUUUGUGGACUUCAAUGCCAGUGGUACUUGCAUUGCAUCAUCAGGAGCAGACAACACACUUAAAAUAUGGGACAUCCGAACAAAUAAACUUAUCCAACAUUACCAGGUCCACAGUGCAGCGAUCAAUGGCUUUUCUUUCCACCCAUCUGGAAACUACCUGAUCAGCGGUUCCAGUGACAGCACAGUAAAGAUCCUGGAUCUGCUGGAAGGAAGGCUCAUUUACACUCUUCAUGGCCACAAGGGUCCAGUUCUGGCAGUGGCAUUUUCUCGAGACGGUCAUCUUUUUGCCUCUGGUGGAGCUGAUUCGCAGGUUCUGAUGUGGAAGACCAACUUUGAUCUGCUGAACUACAGGGAAGUGUUAAGCAGUCACAGCAAGCGUGUAACCCCAGAUCCCCCUCCUCACCUGACGGACAUCUACCCCAGGUCCCCCCACCGUCACCACACCCAGAAUGGAACUGUUGAGAUUAAUCCUGCUGUUACUGACAUCCAGUCAGCUGAUCCUCAUGUGGUGGAGGUAGGAGAGGCUCCGUUCUCCAUGACGGGCGUGAGUGGACGUGCAGGUGGGGUCCCAGGUUACAGAGAUCGCCCAGGCACCAGCAGAGCCUCAGCUUCCACCUAUACUCAUGCAUACGAGGAGCAAGAGGAAGAUGAAGAGGAGGAAAGCCCGGGACUUGGGGUCACAUACCUGUUGGAUGAACGCUCAGGACUUCCACCAGCUUUUAGAAGCACUCUAGAGCACAUUGUCCAACAGCUGGACAUUCUGACGCAGACUGUGGCUGUUCUUGAGGAGCGCCUCACCUUGACAGAAGACAAGUUAAAAGAGUGUCUGGACAACCAGGCCGUUAUUCUCCAGACGCUCCACACGGAUGAGCUCCACGAGGAGAGGGGCGCUGAGGGGCCGGCUGUGUGAGAGGCUGACCCUCUUCAGCUGCCACUUCAGGGAUUAUUGUCUCCGACCUGAACCUCGUGGCUUUCCUCUGGGUGGAGGUCAGGCGGAAGUGGGGAGAGGCGAGACACAAAGGGUCCGGCAGCUCGUGUUUGCUUUGGGUACCACAUCCUUCCCAAGUGUUGGCGCGCUGCUCCACUCCUCCCCACACUUGUACUCUCACACAGAGAAUGUACGCCACUGGCCGGGGGACACAAAAACAAAACAUUUAGUCCACUUAAAAUGAAAUCUGCAAGUGGAAACCUUUAGGGUCCAAGCACCAUUUCAUAAAAAGUUCUGAUUUUGUUUAAAAAAAAACAAAAAAAAAAACACUUUUUGAGCACUCUGCAUUUUUAAAGUACUCUUUUUUUCAAAUUACAUCCACCAGUCUCUGCACACCAUUUCAUCAUGCAGCAGACACACGUGUUAUGUUUGAUUUUGGUCAGAUAGCAUUGUUGAGUUUAUGAUGCAGUGAUAAAAAUGAAAAAUGCUUGAUCGCCAACAAGAUUGUGAUAAAGUUCAGGGGCCUCUGGAAAACAGUCAUACACAUAGUUUUGAUCUAAAAUAAUGUUACAUGUGUAAGAUUCAUGUGUAAGUAGGGAUUUAUAAAAAGUGAAUUUGACGUGAAAAUUGAUGUGCAUUUUUGAAUGAGAGUCUGAGUGUGCUCCAGGCAUUUAGUGAUUGUCUGUGUGAUUUAUUUUUUAUUUACUUUUUAUAAAUCAAUCAAACGCUUAUACUGAGAAUUUACCUUAAGAACACAUUAAGUAUGAAAUUAAAAAGUUUUUUUAAUGAGGCCACUGUUUUAAGGCUACGGGCUGCCACGCACAGUGGCACCACUCAGCAUCUUACUUUUCCUGUACUAUGUUAAACCCAGACCAUAGAUCUCAGUCUAAAGUCUAUAAUAUAAACAGACAAAUGCUGAUACAAACAUUACUACCCCAGUCACACUGUAUAUCACAUUGUACCUUUGAGCUGGAAAAAAGCAAGUUUGUGAAUAUUUAGAUAACUAUUACCAAACAGUGUUGGUUUUAUUCCAUUAAAUCUAUCCUUAAAUCAAAAUUUUUGGUAGAGUAUAAAAUGAAAUUCAGCUUGAAGUUUAUCUUCACUUUUCCAAGAUGCUUCCUAUGUGCUAUAGCUGCAUUUUGUACUUUCUGCUAAACGCCGCCCGCCCCUUUGGCGGUGCCACACUUGGCUUCUACGGUGUGUGGUAGACUUUAGCCGGCUGCAGUAAAAUUUCUAUGCUUUCGUAUUUGGACUAAACAGAUAAGAAACUGACCAAAAAUGUUGACCCUUGAGCUCCCUAUGGUGGAAAAUAGAGUUCACACACCUAUUGGUUCUCAAAUAGAAAAAUGUAUAAUGAAUAUAUAAUGAAGCCAAUUUGUAGAUCUACAAUACUAAUGUACUGCUCAAUUUUCAUAAAGGCCUAGUCCAGUAUUCCAAAAUUCCUCCAUUCCCAGCCUCAGCCCCUAAUAAAAGGCUCAUGAAGAGGAUCUCUUUAGUUGAUCAUAUGUACACUUCUGUAUAGUCCUGCAGACAUAUAAAAGUGAUUUAAA